This 496-nucleotide ribosomal RNA is filed under the name uncultured bacterium. RNAcentral's name for it is "partial 16S ribosomal RNA". It matches the Rfam family "Bacterial small subunit ribosomal RNA", at positions 29 to 507 of the family's 1533-position model. The record is from RNAcentral.
AUGAACGCUGGCGGCGUGCCUAAUACAUGCCAGUCGAGCGAACGGACGAGAAGCUUGCUUCUCUGAUGUUCGCGGCGGACGGGUGAGUAACACGUGGAUACCCUACCUAUAAGACUGGGAUAACUUCGGGAAACCGGAGCUAAUACCGGAUAAUAUUUUUAACCGCAUGGUUCAAAAGUUAAAGACGGUCUUGCUUUCACUUAUAUCUGGAUCCCCGCUUCAUUAGCUAGUUGGUAAGGUAACGGCUUACCAAGGCAACGAUGCAUAGCCGAACUGAGAGGGUGAACGGCCACACUGGAACUGAGACACGGUCCAGACUCCUAGGGGAGGCAGCAGUAGGGAAUCUUCCGCAAUGGGCGAAAGCCUGACGGAGCAACGCAGCGUGAGUGAUGAAGGGCUUCGGAUCGUAAAACUCUGUUAUUAGGGAAGAACAUAUGUGUAAGUAACUGUGCACAUCUUGACGGUACCUAAUCAGAAAGCCACGGCUAACUACGUG